Glycine soja is the source of this 695-nucleotide long non-coding RNA. RefSeq lists it as uncharacterized. The record is from RefSeq and is a predicted model, not a curated record. The transcript is spliced from 4 exons. Lineage: Eukaryota; Viridiplantae; Streptophyta; Magnoliopsida; Fabales; Fabaceae.
UAAUAGCCUGGUUUCCAAUAGGAAGUAUUUAAGAAAUAGAUGCGGGUUGUAUCCCCACACUCCUGUGACCAGCUUUUUAUCAAUGCAUCAGAUUGUUGAAACGGGGCUGCUGUCAAGCAAAAUUUUGGAUUGACUCUUGAAUCAAAUCACAGAAAGUUCAAAAGGCUAUUUGAUCACACUGAGAGUCCACAUAAGAAAACUAAGAAGUUGCUUCCAGGUCCAGCUUAGCCUAAUGGUAUAGCAGCUGAGGAGAUGGAUGAUGGGUGAUUGAAAUGAUAACCAUUUCCAAUGAUGAAGCCCGUAGUCAUGGUGGAAUAUCUCCAAGGUUACAUGGAAAAAGUAAUGUAUUUACAUGUGGCAGUGUCCAAACUUUAAUUCUAGUUGAGGAUGUGGACAUGCUUUUUCUUGAAGACCGCGGAUGUAUCGCUGCCAUACAACACAUUUCUGAGACAGCAAAAGGGCCAAUUAUAUUGACCAGUAAUAGUUUGUGUCACAGAAGAACUCAACAAUAAUCCUCUUUUACUGAAAAAAUUUAUCCAGUCUUGUGAUGGAGAUAUUCGUAAAACCAUUAUGCAGCUUCAGUUCUGGUUCCAGAGUAAAAAAUAUAAAAUAGGUGUGUUACACUUACAUAGCAAUUACGUUUGUUGCAUGUGUUGAUGUUUAUGACUUAAAACCAUAGUUCAAAUUUGGGCUUA